UGGGGAAUCUUGCACAAUGGGGGAAACCCUGAUGCAGCGACGCCGCGUGAGCGAUGAAGGUUUUCGAAUCGUAAAGCUCUGUCCUAUGGGAAGAUAAUGACGGUACCAUGGGAGGAAGCCCCGGCUAACUACGUGCCAGCAGCCGCGGUAAUACGUAGGGGGCGAGCGUUGUCCGGAAUUACUGGGCGUAAAGGGUUCGCAGGCGGCAUGGCAAGUCCGAUGUAAAAGGCGAAGGCUCAACCUUCGUAAGCAUCGGAAACUGUCAAGCUUGAGUGAAGGAGAGGCAAGUGGAAUUCCUAGUGUAGCGGUGGAAUGCGUAGAUAUUAGGAGGAAUACCGGUGGCGAAGGAGACUUGCUGGACUUCAACUGACACUGAGGAACGAAAGAGUGGGUAGCAAACAGG
Molecule: ribosomal RNA, 403 nt
Filed under: Fusobacteriota bacterium
Lineage: Bacteria; Fusobacteriati; Fusobacteriota
Description: Fusobacteria bacterium partial 16S ribosomal RNA
Rfam family: Bacterial small subunit ribosomal RNA
Source: RNAcentral